RNAcentral lists this ribosomal RNA (253 nucleotides) under uncultured bacterium. Its description in RNAcentral is "partial 16S ribosomal RNA". It matches the Rfam family "Bacterial small subunit ribosomal RNA", at positions 524 to 776 of the family's 1533-position model. The record is from RNAcentral.
UACAGAGGAUGCAAGCGUUAUCCGGAAUGAUUGGGCGUAAAGCGUCCGCAGGUGGUUUUGUAAGUCUGCUGUUAAAGCGUUAGGCUCAACCUAAUAAGGGCAGUGGAAACUAUGAGACUAGAGUAUGUUAGGGGUAGAGGGAAUUCCCAGUGUAGCGGUGAAAUGCGUAGAGAUUGGGAAGAACACCGGUGGCGAAAGCGCUCUGCUAGGACAAUACUGACACUGAGGGACGAAAGCUAGGGGAGCGAACGGG